CCCAAACCUGUUUCUAUCUUUCCCUAGUGGCUGAUUUAUUUGUUAAUUCAUAUCUGAUUUACAUAUUUACUUUUAUAUUUUCAUUUAUAUUAUUCAAUUUUUUUAACUUCUACUUUACAAUUUAUUUUGAAUCAUCUUGUUUUGUUUCUUGGCAGGAGCAGGGCUUCUCUACCCCCGGCCGAGGCUUCUUCCUCAUAUGGACAGAGUGGGAGAGACCCCACUGCCCCAGAGCUUCCUCUAGGACCACGUCACCUCCCGUAUGGUGCUGGGGCUCCAGCCUGGGUCACGUGCUUGACAAGACGUCUGCCCAGACUGCUGGAUUUUACUUACAGAGGCUCUCAGGGGGGGCUCAGCGGCUCACAAAGCACAGGUCUGAACCCGUCUCAUCCAGCCUGGAACCAGCAGGGAGAGGCAUCCCCAUCCCAGACUCUUCCCUCUGAGAGCGGCAGUGGACACAGAAGCUCUGGCUCCCUGGCUGAGCAAACACCUUCCAGGGCUUUCUGCCAAGGCCACUAACAGUUGAGGCCUUGGGAAACCAGGAAGGCCAGAGACACAAAGAGCAGCCACGACUUCUAACUUGCCUUCAGGACACCUGGCAGGUGGCCUCUACUCUUUCCAAAGACAAAAGGCUUACUGUCUGCACAGCAAAUGCGAUACUUGGAGAUAAGGCAGUCACUUAGUGACCAUGAAGUGAAAAGCAUUGCAGUGACCACAAAAGGGACUUCACAGUGAGCUCCAGAUCCCCAAGGAGCUGGUGGAAUGAACCCAGACAAGAUGAAAACACCACCAAAAUCAAUAAAGUAAAACAGUCACGUAGCUGUGUAGUCUACCGACCGGGAAGUUUCAAAAGCUGCUUGGGAACAAUGAGAACUGGCAGGACCUGUCUGCUCAGCUGGGCUGCGCCAGGGGAGGCGGACCAGGCGAGCACCUCGCUCAGAGGCUGCUGCGGGAGAGGACACACAGGGAGCCUUCAAGGCCAGCCCUAUGUCGUCACGGAGACCAGUGCCCCCUCAAGGGGAGGGCAAUGCCAGCGCCCUAGCAGGGAGCCCCACAUGUGCCAGUUUGCUGCCUGUCCAUGGGAAACCUUGCUCCCUGUCUCCAUGAUUAUAUUUGGUGACAAGUGACAGCCACAAUGUGCCAUGGCGUGUGGUUAUAAAUUAGGCUUUGGGGAAUCAGGCGG
Molecule: long non-coding RNA, 1180 nt
Organism: Erinaceus europaeus (western European hedgehog)
Lineage: Eukaryota; Metazoa; Chordata; Mammalia; Eulipotyphla; Erinaceidae
Exons: 3
Source: RefSeq, a predicted model, not a curated record